GAUGAACGCUGGCGGCGUGCCUAAUACAUGCAAGUCGAGCGAACAGACGAGGAGCUUGCUCCUCUGACGUUAGCGGCGGACGGGCGAGUAACACGUGGAUAACCUACCUAUAAGACUGGGAUAACUUCGGGAAACCGGAGCUAAUACCGGAUAACAUGUUGAACCGCAUGGUUCAACAGUGAAAGACGGUUUUGCUGUCACUUAUAGAUGGAUCCGCGCCGCAUUAGCUAGUUGGUAAGGUAACGGCUUACCAAGGCAACGAUGCGUAGCCGACCUGAGAGGGUGAUCGGCCACACUGGAACUGAGACACGGUCCAGACUCCUACGGGAGGCAGCAGUAGGGAAUCUUCCGCAAUGGGCGAAAGCCUGACGGAGCAACGCCGCGUGAGUGAAGAAGGUCUUCGGAUCGUAAAACUCUGUUAUUAGGGAAGAACAAAUGUGUAAGUAACUAUGCACGUCUUGACGGUACCUAAGCAGAAAGCCACGGCUAACUACGU
Molecule: ribosomal RNA, 496 nt
Filed under: uncultured bacterium
Lineage: Bacteria
Description: partial 16S ribosomal RNA
Rfam family: Bacterial small subunit ribosomal RNA
Source: RNAcentral